Molecule: ribosomal RNA, 474 nt
Filed under: uncultured soil bacterium
Lineage: Bacteria
Description: bacterial SSU rRNA
Rfam family: Bacterial small subunit ribosomal RNA
Source: RNAcentral
AGGAUGAACGCUGGCGGCGUGCUUAACACAUGCAAGUCGAACGUGAGGGUGUAGCAAUACACCUGAAAGUGGCGGACGGGUGAGUAACACGUGGGUGACCUGCCUUGUAGUGGGGGAUAACCAUGGGAAACUGUGGCUAAUACCGCAUGGUCCGGUUAGAAAGGGAUUCUAAUCGGUAAAGCUUCAUGUGCUACGAGAGGGGCCUGCGUCCGAUUAGGUAGUUGGUGGGGUAAUGGCCUACCAAGCCGAUGAUCGGUAGCUGGUCUGAGAGGACGAUCAGCCACACGGGAACUGAGAGACGGUCCCGACUCCUACGGGGGGCAGCAGUGAGGAAUAUUGGGCAAUGGGCGCAAGCCUGACCCAGCAACGCCGCGUGGAGGAUGAAGGUCCUUGGAUUGUAAACUCCUUUUUGUGGGGAAGAGAGCGGACGGUACCCCAAGAAUAAGUCACGGCUAACUACGUGCCAGCAGCCGC